GUUAUUAAUUGGGGAACCUUUGUUUAAUUGCGUUGACAGCCAAAAAUCUAGUCUGAGGGGUUGUGCUGGUGCCGAGUUAUAGAGGGAAGCAUCCGUAGUUCGUAAGGUAAUCCCUAAAUAUAGGUGGGUCGGUGCAGCGAAGGACUCAGUGGUGGCCGCACGACUCCUUUUACAUUGUUUAUUGCCUAUUCAUGAUUUUACUUUUAUUUGGGAGUAUUUUGCUGUAAUUAUGGCCUUUACUUACUUUAGUUUAAAUUUGGAUUUAUACGGUUUUAUGAUUUAAAUCUGCUAGUGUUAGGUAAAACUCGGGUUUUCAAAUGAAAUUGAUGUUUUAUCAAAAUACCACGAACACGCAAACUGUUUAAAAGCUACCGCAAUGAAAAAUGUUUUGAAAAUUGAA
Molecule: long non-coding RNA, 400 nt
Organism: Gossypium arboreum
Lineage: Eukaryota; Viridiplantae; Streptophyta; Magnoliopsida; Malvales; Malvaceae
Exons: 2
Source: RefSeq, a predicted model, not a curated record